UUGAAAUGUAAAAUUCUGGCUAGAGUAGUAAUAGUUAUGUUCUUGAAACUUAAAGAAUUUGGCGGUAUUUUAGUCUAAUCAGAGGAACCUGUCCCGUAAUCGAUAAUCCACGGUGGACCUUACUUAAAUUUGUUUAGUUUAUAUACCGUCGUUAUAAAAAACUUUUUUAGAAAAAUAGUUUUUAAUAAUUAAGAUUAUAAUUUAUAUCAGAUCAAGGUGUAGCUUAUAUUUAAGUGGAGAUGGGUUACAAUAAAGCUAUUUAUAUGAAUUUUUUUAUGAAACUAGAAAAUGAAAGUGGAUUUGAAAGUAAGGUUUUAUAGAUAAAAAAUCUGAAAUUAGCUCUAAAAUAUGUAC
This 354-nucleotide ribosomal RNA is filed under the name Conops australianus. RNAcentral describes it as "partial 12S ribosomal RNA". The record is from RNAcentral. Lineage: Eukaryota; Metazoa; Arthropoda; Insecta; Diptera; Conopidae.